CUUGGGUCCGAGUUGUAAUCUAUAGAGGCGUUUUCCGUGCCGGACCGUGUCCAAGUCCCUUGGAACAGGGUAUCAAAGAGGGUGACAAUCCCGUACUUGACACGACGACCGGUGCUCUGUGAUACGUCUUCGACGAGUCGAGUUGUUUGGGAAUGCAGCUCAAAAUGGGUGGUAAAUUCCAUCUAAAGCUAAAUAUUGGCGAGAGACCGAUAGCGAACAAGUACCGUGAGGGAAAGAUGAAAAGCACUUUGGAAAGAGAGUUAAACAGUACGUGAAAUUGUUAAAAGGGAAACGAUUGAAGUCAGUCGUGUUGGUCGGAUUCAGCCUGGUCUCCGGGUGUAUUUCCUUCCAACGGGUCAACAUCAGUUUGGAUCGGUGGAUAAAGAUGGAGGGAAGGUGGCAUCUCCGGAUGUGUUAUAGCCCUCUGUUGCAUACGCUGGUCCGGACUGAGGCAUGCAGCUCGCCUUUAUGGCCGGGGUUCACCCACGUUCGAGCUUAGGAUGUUGACGUAAUGGCUUUAAACGACCCGUCUU
This 533-nucleotide ribosomal RNA is filed under the name Cryptococcus sp. AtNov07DSX-Y42. RNAcentral's name for it is "LSU rRNA". It matches the Rfam family "Eukaryotic large subunit ribosomal RNA", at positions 131 to 655 of the family's 3401-position model. The record is from RNAcentral. Lineage: Eukaryota; Fungi; Basidiomycota; Tremellomycetes; Tremellales; Cryptococcaceae.